RNAcentral lists this ribosomal RNA (280 nucleotides) under uncultured Sphingomonadales bacterium. RNAcentral describes it as "partial 16S ribosomal RNA". It matches the Rfam family "Bacterial small subunit ribosomal RNA", at positions 505 to 784 of the family's 1533-position model. The record is from RNAcentral. Lineage: Bacteria; Pseudomonadati; Pseudomonadota; Alphaproteobacteria; Sphingomonadales.
GUGCCAGCAGCCGCGGUAAUACGGAGGGAGCUAGCGUUGUUCGGAAUUACUGGGCGUAAAGCGCACGUAGGCGGCUUUGUAAGUUAGAGGUGAUAGCCUGGAGCUCAACUCCAGAAUUGCCUUUAAGACUGCAUCGCUUGAAUCCAGGAGAGGUGAGUGGAAUUCCGAGUGUAGAGGUGAAAUUCGUAGAUAUUCGGAAGAACACCAGUGGCGAAGGCGUCUCACUGGACUGGUAUUGACGCUGAGGUGCGAAAGCGUGGGGAGCAAACAGGAUUAGAUA